Molecule: ribosomal RNA, 253 nt
Filed under: uncultured bacterium
Lineage: Bacteria
Description: partial 16S ribosomal RNA
Rfam family: Bacterial small subunit ribosomal RNA
Source: RNAcentral
UACGUAGGUGGCGAGCGUUGUCCGGAUUUACUGGGCGUAAAGAGCGCGCAGGCGGUCGUUCAAGUCGCGUGUGAAAGCCCCCGGCUCAACUGGGGAGGGUCACGCGAUACUGAUCGACUCGAAGGCAGGAGAGGGAAGUGGAAUUCCCGGUGUAGUGGUGAAAUGCGUAGAUAUCGGGAGGAACACCAGUGGCGAAGGCGACGUCCUGGACCGGCAUUGACGCUGAGGCGCGAAAGCUAGGGGAGCAAACGGG